Molecule: RNA transcript, 1634 nt
Organism: Amborella trichopoda
Lineage: Eukaryota; Viridiplantae; Streptophyta; Magnoliopsida; Amborellales; Amborellaceae
Gene name: gamma-glutamyl hydrolase 2
Source: RefSeq, a predicted model, not a curated record
UUUUGAUACAAGGUGCACCAUUUUAUGGCAAAAUACUAUCCCACCAGUUUUCUUUUCACCAACCAAAUGUCCGAUAAGUCACAAAUAAAAGGGAAAAUAAAACCCAGCGGCAAAACCAUAAUGUUUUCAAGUCUCAAAGUGCCUCUUGCACAGAGCCCUCGACCUGUGCAACAGGAGAAAGAAAGGGCCUAAUCAGCCUCCUUCGCAACCGUCGAUUCUACAGAGAAUGGCUGACGCCUCAAAUAUCCGCCGUCCAUUACUACCCCGAGAUCAACAAACCAAAAUCAUGCAGCACGAUAAUGGGUGCUUAAGGCUCUCAUCCUCUGACUUAUGGAACUUCCUCUGCGUCAAUCUCCUCUUUUCUUCCUCAAAUCGAACGGCUAUCAACGCAAACGCACAGUGCCUUCUCCUCCCCUCCGAUUCUGAUGGUGAAAUUCCGGCAGAAGUCUCCGCCAAAUCUGCCGAAAUUCAGAGUUGUCCGGCGCCGGAUCCGGCGCUGUAUUAUCAGCCUGUGAUCGGAAUCCUGACACAUCCCGGCGACGGUGCGAGCGGAAGGCUGAUGAACGGUUCGCAUGUGUCCUAUAUCGCGGCGUCAUAUGUCAAGUUUUGUGAGGCGGCAGGUGCUCGUGUGAUUCCCCUCAUUUACAACGAGCGCCGUGAGGUCCUUUUAGAGAAACUCAAUUUGGUCAAUGGUAUGCUUUUAACCGGAGGAUGGUGUAAACGAGGUUUAUACUAUGAUACAGUUGAGAUGAUCUUCAAGCAUGUGUUGGAGAGAAAUGAUGCUGGUGAUCACUUUCCUUUGGUAGCAAUUUGCUUAAACUUUGAGUUAAUAAGCAUAAUUGUCAGCCAGGACAGAAGUAUUUUUGAAAGAUAUAGUGCAUUGGAUCUACCAUCUACUCUUCAAUUUAAACAAAAUAUUGAGCUAAAUAAUACAGUCUUUCGGAGGUUUUCUUCAGAAUUACUUAAAAAAGUGAGCACAGAAUGCCUUAUUAUGCAAAGUCAUCGAUUCGGUGUAUCACCUGAAACAUUUGAAUCAAACCAUGCACUCUCGAAUUUCUUCAAGAUAUUGACAACAUGUGCAGAUAAAAAUGGAAAGGUCUAUGUCUCGACUACUCAAGCUUACAGAUAUCCAAUAUUUGGCUUCCAAUGGCAUCCAGAGUUAACUACAGAAGAAUGCAUUUGAAUGGGGGUUACCAAAUAUUCCUCACUCUGAAGAUGCUGUGCAAGUGACUCAACAUGUUGCCAACUUUUUCAUCAGUGAAGCACGAAAGUCCUCAAACAGGCCACCUACGACAAGAGUACUGGAUAACCUCAUUUACAAUCACAGUCCCACUUAUUGUGGGAAGGCUGGGAAAGGAUAUGAUGAGGUUUAUCUAUUUCCAUGAACUUCAAGUAGCUGAAAAUCAAAAAUGAGGAAAAGAUGGCAGAAACUUGGUCAAAUAUUUUGAAAUUGAUGCAUUCCUUCUGUAAAAUAUGUGCUCUGAGUGUCAAUUCAUCAGCCCUGUUGAGGACUCUAUUCUUAUUGUGAAGCAUUAUGCUUCUUGUAUGUUCUGUAAAUAUGCGUUGCUGUAAACUGAAUAAAACCUUCUUGAACUCAAUACUUGCAGUAAUGCAACUAUUCCAUAAGUAGAACA